This 510-nucleotide ribosomal RNA is filed under the name Penicillium kewense. RNAcentral describes it as "LSU rRNA". It matches the Rfam family "Eukaryotic large subunit ribosomal RNA", at positions 100 to 625 of the family's 3401-position model. Lineage: Eukaryota; Fungi; Ascomycota; Eurotiomycetes; Eurotiales; Aspergillaceae. The record is from RNAcentral.
GGCAAGAGCUCAAAUUUGAAAGCUGGCUCCUUCGGGGUCCGCAUUGUAAUUUGUAGAGGAUGCUUCGGGAGCGGUCCCCAUCUAAGUGCCCUGGAACGGGACGUCAUAGAGGGUGAGAAUCCCGUAUGGGAUGGGGUGUCCGCGCCCGUGUGAAGCUCCUUCGACGAGUCGAGUUGUUUGGGAAUGCAGCUCUAAAUGGGUGGUAAAUUUCAUCUAAAGCUAAAUAUUGGCCGGAGACCGAUAGCGCACAAGUAGAGUGAUCGAAAGAUGAAAAGCACUUUGAAAAGAGAGUUAAAAAGCACGUGAAAUUGUUGAAAGGGAAGCGCUUGCGACCAGACUCGCUCGCGGGGUUCAGCCGGCAUUCGUGCCGGUGUACUUCCCCGCGGGCGGGCCAGCGUCGGUUUGGGCGGUCGGUCAAAGGCCCUCGGAAGGUAACGCCCCUAGGGGCGUCUUAUAGCCGAGGGUGCAAUGCGACCUGCCUAGACCGAGGAACGCGCUUCGGCUCGGACG